UCUCGGUUUACACCGGCAGUUUCGCUAGAGUCCCCGGCAUUACCCGCUGGCAACUAACGAUAAGGGUUGCGCUCGUUAUGGGACUUAACCCGACACCUCACGGCACGAGCUGACGACAACCAUGCAGCACCUUGCAGAGAGUUCCGAAGAAAAUGAUGAUUUCUCACCAAUGCACUCUACAUUUAAGCCCAGGUAAGGUUCCUCGCGUAUCAUCGAAUUAAACCACAUGUUCCUCCGCUUGUGCGGGCCCCCGUCAAUUCCUUUGAGUUUCAGCCUUGCGGCCGUACUCCCCAGGUGGAUCACUUAAUGCUUUUGCUUAGCCGCUGACUGUGUAUCGCCAACAGCGAGUGAUCAUCGUUUACGGCGUGGACUAC
RNAcentral lists this unclassified non-coding RNA (374 nucleotides) under uncultured Bacteroidales bacterium. RNAcentral describes it as "contains 16S-23S intergenic spacer region". Lineage: Bacteria; Pseudomonadati; Bacteroidota; Bacteroidia; Bacteroidales. The record is from RNAcentral.